This is a small nuclear RNA of Bos indicus x Bos taurus (hybrid cattle), 107 nucleotides long. NCBI's taxonomy places the organism in Eukaryota, Metazoa, Chordata, Mammalia, Artiodactyla, Bovidae. The record is from Ensembl.
GUCCUCACUUUGGCAGCACAUAUACUAAAAUUGAAAUGAUACAGAGAAGAUUAGUAUGGCCCCUGCGCAAGGAUGACAUGCAAAUUCAUGAAGCGUUCCAUAUUUUU